Molecule: unclassified non-coding RNA, 3530 nt
Filed under: Leishmania donovani
Lineage: Eukaryota; Euglenozoa; Kinetoplastea; Trypanosomatida; Trypanosomatidae
Description: gene:LdHU3.22.1530(CDS-product:ChaC-like_protein_ putative)
Source: RNAcentral
CACUCCACGACCCACUCAGCACCCCGUUGUGGUCAUCUCUUCGCUUCUCGCACUCCUCUGCUUAAGCAGAUACACACGCACACAUACACAGAUACUCUGUUCCCAACCUCACUCGCGCACCAAGCCUUAGCGAGGGCCUCCCACGUUGGAAUAAGCCGUUCUACGUCCCCUGACUCACCACCACAGCCGUCACUUGGCCCGGCACGUCUCCUUCACCGUCAUCAUGCCCAAAAUUGAUACCGACGUCUCUGCCCACCACCACUACGACGCCUAUCAGCUACCCGGGGACGGGUCAACACCGGCCUCGCAUGUGGCCGCGUCGCUCCCGAAGAUCCUGACGACUCAGCCCGAACUGCCGCACCAGCAAAACACUAAAACUGCAUCCGCGCGCUACCAUGAGCAGUUCGGCCUUCCGUCCUUCGACGAUCAUGUCUUCGUCAUCUUCGGUUAUGGCUCCAUCCUGUGGAAGCAGAACUUUGAGUUCGACGCGGAGUACGAGACGUACAUCAAGGGCUACAAGCGCGUUUUCUACCAGGGCUCACGCGAUCACCGCGGUGUGCCGGACAAGCCGGGCCGCGUGGUGACGCUGCUGCCCUCGGAGGACAAGGAGCAGCGCGUGUAUGGCAAGGCGUACCAACUGCCGGCGGACCCUGAGAAGCUGAACAAGAUCUUCCAGGCGUUGGAUGUGCGCGAAGGCGGAUAUGAUCGCGUGCAGCUGACCCUGUUCAACGCGCACCCGACGACCGGCAACCUGACUACGACGCCGAUACUGCCUGCAUCGAUGCCCAAGUCCUUCAAGACCGAGAGCUCCACCCAAUACGUGCCGCCUCCGCGCCAGAAUUCUUCCGAUGUCGAAGCCGGUGACGCGGAGGAGGUGCUCGACAUCUUCAGCCACCCGAACGCACCAGCGGUGCAGCCGCGCAAGAACGUCGUGUGCCUAUGCUACAUUGCGACGGAGCAGAACGAGGGGUACGUCGGUGAGGCCUCGAUGGAGGCGAUGGCAGAGGAGAUUCUGAGCUGCGCCGGCGUCAGUGGUUCGAACCGUGAGUACCUUUUCUUCCUUGCCGACUGCCUUCGUGCGAUGGGGGCGACCGACCCGCACGUUUUCGAGCUCGACGCAGUCGCGAAGCGCAUCCUGCGUGGUCGGGAGGCGGAGUUUGCCGCCGGCGCGAAGCGGGUCGCCACGAUGGCGUAAAAAGUAAGUGGCUCUCCUCCUCUCUGUUUUUUUUUUCUCACAUCACCUGUGUGCGGCGCGGUGCGCUGAAAUAUCUGUGCCACGUGUGUGAUCCACGCAGAUGUUCGCACGCGCUGUCGGCUGGUGCGUGUGGGGGAGCACGCCUGUGUCGGAGCACAUGCAUAACGGUGUCUCUCUCUGCAAGAGCAUGGUAUCUCCCAUUGGAAGGUAGGCAUGCAUACCUGCAUCUGUACAAUCUAUACACACGCACACACGUAUUUUGGCGAGAAUUGGGUGUAUUUCUUUGUUUUAAGUGGCUGGAUACCUCGGCCUGUGUGUCGCAUGCUGAUAUGGGGCUGUGUCUGCGAUGCGGUUGUCAUGUAUGUAUCUCUCUUCGUCGUCGCAUCUUACGCGGGAGCGCGAAAAGAGGUGGGUGGCGAUGCAUGCUCGCGCCGAUGGGCAGUUGUGCGGUCGUGUCCUCCUCCCUCCCUCCCCCCUCCUCUCGCUCUCGCUGGCUGGUAACAGUAAUGGUAUGCGAGGCUUCAGACGCGCUCAGCAACGUCACAAGGGCGGCUGCCACACAAGCACACAAACCUCACACGACCCUCCAUUCUCUCUGUAUAUGUUGUAUGUAUCUCUGCUUCUCUCCGUCUCCGCUGGUUUCUUUGACGCAUUUUUCUUCGUGAUUUAAUUCGUUCACGAACCCGCGCAUGCGGUGCUUCUCCCCUUCCUCUGUGCGUCUUGGUCUGUGUGGAUGGCGCUCGUAAAGGCGUUGGCGUCCGGGUGAGGUUGUGCGCGCACUUGCAUGUGAGUGUAAGCAUAUAUGCGCAUGCCGGCCAUGUCGUGACUUGAAGGCGACUUCACCUAGAACCGUGUGACGCACGCACGCCCCGAUGCACAGUUCGUGAGUGCGCACAUGCACACGCUCACGACUGUCAGUGUGGGGUGUCGCGGCCUCUUUUUUGCCUUGUUGUGCUCGGCUUUCGACGAACACACAAGGAUGUGUUCACUGCGUACAGGUGCAUGCAUGCAUCUAUCUAUCUAUAUAUAUAUAUAUAUGUGUGUGUGUGUAUGUGUUAAGCUUUUCAUAAGCUCUAAAAAUACGCCGAUGGCACGGCGGGCGGGAGGCGGUGGCUUUGGCUCUGCCCUCCGCCCUCCUCCGCGCGACCCACAAAUCUAGUCUGGUCUGGUCCAUCAUCAUUAUGUCGCUCUUUUCUUCCGCUCUCUGUGAUACAUGGAGACACAUACACACACAGCGAGAGAGAGAAAUGAGGGCCGAAGAAAAGCAGCGACCCAAGUCGAGUUGCUUGCUUGUAAAAGGCAGGGCGAUGACGCCUCUGCACGGCGCUGUGUGUGUGCCGAUGGCUUCCUUCCUACUUUUCUGCCUUUUCUUUGUGCAGCGUUUCGCGCAUGGGGCGAGUACGUUCGAAACACAAAUGACGGAAAUGGUGCAUACAACGUGGAGACGACAGACGCUUCCAUGAGGGAUGGGGGAGAGGGGUAUUUACGACGAUCAAGAAGUAGAAGAGAAGGAAAGGUCAGCACGCGCUUGCUUGCUCGUCUGGCUGCCUGUGCACGUGUUGGCUUGCUCCUUCUUGUCUUUGCAUUCGCGUUUCGCUGGCUCGUGUUCGUUUUUCGCUUAUUUGUCGGUGCGUGAUGCAUGUGUGCAAGCACUCCCCCUUUCCCUUUUACUCUUCUCCCUCUUAGCACAUCCUCCCGUAUCGACUCCUCUUGAACUCCCACCCACCCCACUCCGCACACUCUUACCACACUUGCAUCACCGGCCUAUCUUCACCACUGUACCCUCUCCCCUCUUUCUUCUCCCUUACGUUCCUUCUUUGUGGCUUCUUCAUUUGUGUCUACUCACUCUCUCUUGCCUUCAUCAUCUCAAAAUACGAUGUCUGUUCCUGUACUUCGGCGUGCAUGUGUACAUGUGUCUGGCAGCUUCAGCGGUGUGGCCAUGCGUGACAGCUCUCACAUUGGUUAAUUUCUUUUCGCUGAUGUUGGCGAACUUCUUCGUCUCCCUCCAUCCUACUCGGCUUAUUUUUCUCGCAAGUCUCGUGUGCUGGUCGUCGGUGUUGCAGUCUCCGUAUGUAGAUGACGGCGCCACCCCUCCCGCCAUCAUCCCGUCUCCUCGUCUCUCUGCUACAUUAAUAAGGGGCGAGAGAGGGGUCACCUCCUUGGAUGUUGUGCAAGGGAGCGGCGCAUCCGAUGGCCACGGCACUUCUUGGCAUGCGCAUCUCAACGAGGAAAACCAUUAGAAAGUGGAUCGGGACGGACAGCACGUACACGUCGAUCUCUGUCCGUCUGUGUGUUUGUGUGUGUGCACGCAUGCAUACAUGUGUGCGUGUGUGUG